CUCAGGUGCUUUAGUUACUGUGGUCCUGUUGUUUGGAACAAGCAUCCCACUGACUUGAGGUCAAUUACAACUGUGUCUACAUGCAAAAACAGACUCAAACCAUGUUAUCCUCACAGGCUUACAGUUAAUAAUUAGGCUCUCAGUGGAUUAUGAGGCACUGUUGAAAGAACACAAAGAUGUGAAGCAAAAGCUGGAAGCCUCUAAAGCCAGGAGCAAAACUCUAUCUGCUGAAGUCAAAACUCUGAAGCAUCAAAUAUCAACCCUGAUGGAGAAGGGGAAACACGAUGAUGAGUUCGUGGCUGCUUUGAUGAAGCAGCAGGCCCAGAUGCAAACGGUAUUAAAACGACUCAGCCAAAAACAAAACGUACAGAGCAAGGUGAUGCAGCAGAGUGUAGGACAACAGCUGAGCAACAUACCUUCAGAGCACAGUGCUAUCGUCCAGAGAUUUAAGGAGAUACUUGCUGAGAAAGAUGCCAUUAUCAAAAAACUACAGAAAAGCCAGCAAUUCUCUGAUAAGGUGUUGAAGAACAAUGAUGUGCACAGACAGCCCAGCAUCAGGAUAACAAACUGUACUUCUGCUGUUUCCCCAGAAGAGGGAGACAUUACCAAUAGAAUUCCAUCUUCAGGUUCAAUUUCUAAAUUUGGUCACAAACUGGUGCUGCCAGCUGUGGGAAGUGGCAUAGAAUUCACAGAGAAAGUGAUGAGCCGCACAUGUUUGGAGGCACAAGUACCAAGAGGAGCACCACAGGCCAGUGAUCCUGGAGGAGUUUGAGAGGAUAAAAUUAGAUUAAACUCUGUCGGCAGGAGCAGAGUCCCUGAGCACCAUGGAGUCUCUGAGCAACAGGAACUGUCCACAGACAAACCUGAACAGACUGUCCAACAGUCCAGCUGGCAUUU
Molecule: long non-coding RNA, 897 nt
Filed under: Oreochromis niloticus (Nile tilapia)
Lineage: Eukaryota; Metazoa; Chordata; Actinopteri; Cichliformes; Cichlidae
Description: lncRNA (ENSONIG00000042258.1)
Source: RNAcentral